UUUUAAGAAAAACUGAUAGCUGCUUUCUAACAUAAAAUGCAGUCGUUUGGCCAUUUAACAGACAUUUAUGGCAUAUUUGUUAUGCGCAAAAAGUACAAACAUGACCAAAUGUUGGACUUUGCCCUUCCAAUGUAGAUUCAUAGUUUGAAGGACAGAAUGAAAUAUAAAUUGAUAAAUGUAAACCAGUUGAAAAACUGCCUCAGUAAAGGUGUGUAUGGGGUACAAUAGGAGCAGAGACUUCUGAUUUGCCAUCUAAAGGGUGAACUAGAGUCCUUGACGCACACAACAGGGAAGAGACAUGCCUGGUGGAACCCAAGGUAUGUGCAAAGCUGGAAGAGAAGGAAACAAAUAGGAAGGGAUUGCUUUUCGACAAGAAACCAGAGCAGAUCUUUGAAUAGCAGAAUUUCUAGCAUAGUCAGCAAAAGAAAUAAACAUUACCUUUUUCACUAUGAGGAUUUAAAGAUGAGUGAACAUGACAGGAAACUUCAAUCUAAAACAAUCUGUAGCCUAAGAGAAACUUUGUAUCACCAAUCCAGAAUCAACUUGUGGUACUUUGAAGAGUGUUUUUUUUGUUUGUUUGUUGAUUUGUUUUGUUCCCCCCCCCACCCCGCAAAGGGAGCGGAUCACAAAAGAAUUGAAAAACACAG
This 647-nucleotide long non-coding RNA is filed under the name Homo sapiens (human). RNAcentral describes it as "non-protein coding lnc-TRNT1-2:1". Lineage: Eukaryota; Metazoa; Chordata; Mammalia; Primates; Hominidae. The record is from RNAcentral.